GAUGAACGCUGGCGGCGUGCUUAACACAUGCAAGUCGAACGGAAAGGCCCAAGCUUGCUUGGGUACUCGAGUGGCGAACGGGUGAGUAACACGUGGGUGAUCUGCCCUGCACUUCGGGAUAAGCCUGGGAAACUGGGUCUAAUACUGGAUAGGACCACUCCUUGGAUGGUGUGGUGGAAAGUUUUUUCGGUGUGGGAUGAGCUCGCGGCCUAUCAGCUUGUUGGUGGGGUAAUGGCCUACCAAGGCGUCGACGGGUAGCCGGCCUGAGAGGAUGUACGGCCACAUUGGAACUGAGAGACGGCCCAGAGUCCUAAGGGGGGCAGCAGUGGGGAAGAUUGCACAAUGGGCGCAAGACUGCUGCAGCGACGCCGCGUGGGGGAUGACGGCCUUCGGGUUGUAAACUCCUUUCGCUAGGGACGAAGCGUUUUUGUGACGGUACCUGGAGAAGAAGCACCGGCUAACUACGUG
RNAcentral lists this ribosomal RNA (468 nucleotides) under uncultured bacterium. RNAcentral describes it as "partial 16S ribosomal RNA". It matches the Rfam family "Bacterial small subunit ribosomal RNA", at positions 28 to 507 of the family's 1533-position model. The record is from RNAcentral.